Molecule: ribosomal RNA, 279 nt
Filed under: uncultured bacterium
Lineage: Bacteria
Description: partial 16S ribosomal RNA
Rfam family: Bacterial small subunit ribosomal RNA
Source: RNAcentral
UGCCAGCCGCCGCGGUAAUACGGAGGGUGCAAGCGUUAAUCGGAUUUAUUGGGCGUAAAGAGCGCGUAGGCGGGGAUGUCAGUCAGACGUGAAAUCCCGGGGCUCAACCCCGGAACUGCAUUUGAUACUGCAUCUCUUGAGGGUAGGCGGAGAAAACGGAAUUCCACGUGUAGCGGUGAAAUGCGUAGAUAUGUGGAAGAACACCGGUGGCGAAGGCGGUUUUCUAGCUUAUUCCUGACGCUGAGGCGCGAAAGCAAGGGGAGCAAACAGGAUUAGAUA